GAUGAAGAACGUAGUGAAAUGCGAUAAGUAAUGUGAAUUGCAGAAUUCAGUGAAUCAUCGAAUCUUUGAACGCACAUUGCGCUCGCCAGUAUUCUGGCGAGCAUGCCUGUUCGAGCGUCAUUUCAACCAUCAAGCUCUGCUUGCGUUGGGGAUCCGCGGCUGCCCGCGGUCCCUCAAAAACAGUGGCGGGCUCGCUAGUCACACCGAGCGUAGUAACUCUACAUCGUUCUGGUCGUGCGGCGGGUUCUUGCCGUAAAACCCCCCAAUUUCUAAGGUUGACCUCGGAUCAGGUAGGAAUACCCGCUGAACUUAAGCAUAUCAAUAAGCGGAGGA
Molecule: unclassified non-coding RNA, 333 nt
Filed under: soil metagenome
Description: partial contains 5.8S ribosomal RNA, internal transcribed spacer 2, and large subunit ribosomal RNA
Rfam family: 5.8S ribosomal RNA (bases 1-120)
Source: RNAcentral